Molecule: ribosomal RNA, 787 nt
Filed under: uncultured bacterium
Lineage: Bacteria
Description: bacterial SSU rRNA
Rfam family: Bacterial small subunit ribosomal RNA
Source: RNAcentral
AAUUCGAUUGAGUUUGAUCAUGGCUCAGGACGAACGCUGGCGGCGUGCUUAACACAUGCAAGUCGAGGGCACUCAGCAAUGAGUGACCGGCGAACGGGUGCGUAACACGUGAGCGACCUGCCGUACCUGUGGGGGAUAGCCGGCCCAACGGCCGGGUAAUACCGCAUACGAUCGUUUUGUCGCAUGGCGAGACGACGAAAGCUUGGCGCAAGUCAGGCGCAGGACGAGGGGCUCGCGGCCUAUCAGCUAGUUGGCGGGGUAACGGCCCACCAAGGCGACGACGGGUAGCUGGUCUGAGAGGAUGGCCAGCCACAUUGGGACUGAGAGACGGCCCAGACUCCUACGGGAGGCAGCAGUGGGGAAUCUUGCGCAAUGGCCGAAAGGCUGACGCAGCGACGCCGCGUGUGGGAGGACGCCCUUCGGGGUGUAAACCACUGUUGCCCGGGACGAAUUCCCGCUUGGCGGGAUUGACGGUACCGGGUGAGGAAGCACCGGCUAACUCCGUGCCAGCAGCCGCGGUAAUACGGAGGGUGCGAGCGUUGUCCGGAAUCACUGGGCGUAAAGGGCGCGUAGGCGGCUUGAUAAGGCUGUGGUGAAAGUCCGGGGCUCAACCCCGGAUCGGCCGUGGCGACUGUUGGGCUGGAGCACUGUAGAGGCGAGCGGAAUUCCGGGUGUAGCGGUGGAAUGCGUAGAGAUCCGGAAGAACACCGGUGGCGAAGGCGGCUCGCUGGGCAGGAAGAUCCUCGCAAGGGGAUCGGCUGACGCUGAGGCGCGACAGCGUGGGGAG